GACGAACGCUGGCGGCGUGCUUAACACAUGCAAGUCGAACGGGAGUAUUGAAGAAGCUUGCUUUAGAGAUACUUUAGUGGCGGACGGGUGAGUAACGCGUGAGGCGCUGUCCAAUGCAGGGGGACAACAGUUGGAAAAGACUGCUAAUACCACAUAAGCCGAGAGGUAAACGGAUUUAUCCGGCAAUGGUGGUACUCGCGUCCUAUCAGCUAGUAGGAGAGGUAACGGCUCACCUAGGCGAAGACGGGUAGCCGGCCGGAGAGGGCGAACGGCCACACUGGAACUGAGAUACGGUCCAGACUCCUACGGGAGGCAGCAGUGGGGAAUAUUGGGCAAUGGGGGGAACCCUGACCCAGCGACGCCGCGUGGGUGAAGAAAUCCUUCGGGAUGUAAAGCCCUGUUGUAUGGGAAGGGCGGAAGACGGUACCAUACGAGGAAGCCCCGGCAAACUACGUGCCAGCAGCCGCCGUAA
This 472-nucleotide ribosomal RNA is filed under the name uncultured bacterium. Its description in RNAcentral is "partial 16S ribosomal RNA". It matches the Rfam family "Bacterial small subunit ribosomal RNA", at positions 28 to 523 of the family's 1533-position model. The record is from RNAcentral.